CUUAGCCACUUACACCUUUGCAACACUGAGCCCACCAAGUCACUCCAUAGAGCCAUUAAAACAGUUGGCAACAUGGUCAUUUGGUUGACCCUUCUUCCGUUCUUUGCUAUGCUCUCAGGCUGCCAUUCUGAAGUUCAACUGGUGGAGACAGGAGGAGGUGUUGUGUCACCAGGAGAAUCCCUUCGCCUCUCCUGUAAAGCUUCUGGAUUCACUUUUAGUAGCUACUACAUGAGCUGGAUCCGACAGGCUGCCGGGAAAGGGCUAGAAUGGGUGGCCACAAUAACUCACACUGCAAGUAGCCAGUGGUAUAACUCCAAGGUUCAGGGAAGAUUCACCAUCUCCAGAGACAACGCGCAGAGUCUGUUAUCUCUGCAGAUGACAAGCUUGAAGACUGAAGACUCUGCCGUGUAUUACUGUGCGAGAGACACAGUGGCAACUUCUGCUUCUAGGCUU
Non-coding RNA from Pogona vitticeps (central bearded dragon), 453 nucleotides. The record is from the annotation of a RefSeq genome assembly. NCBI's taxonomy places the organism in Eukaryota, Metazoa, Chordata, Lepidosauria, Squamata, Agamidae.